GACGAACCGUGCGAACGUUAUUCGGAAUCACUGGGCUUAAAGCGCGUGUAGGCGGCCCGGCACGUCAGUCGCUGAAAUCCCCCGGCUCAACCGGGGAACUGGCGUUGAUACGACCGGGCUGGAGGGGGGUAGGGGGGACGGGAACUCACGGUGGAGCGGUGAAAUGCGUUGAGAUCGUGAGGAACGCCCGUGGCGAAAGCGCGUCCCUGGACCCCACCUGACGCUGAGACGCGAAAGCCAGGGGAGCGAACGGG
Molecule: ribosomal RNA, 254 nt
Filed under: uncultured bacterium
Lineage: Bacteria
Description: partial 16S ribosomal RNA
Rfam family: Bacterial small subunit ribosomal RNA
Source: RNAcentral